GACGAACGCUGGCGGCGUGCUUAACACAUGCAAGUCGAACGGAAAGGCCCUGCUUUUGUGGGGUGCUCGAGUUGCGAACGGGUGAGUAACACGUGAGUAACCUGCCCUUGACUUUGGGAUAACUUCAUGAAACUGGGGCUAAUACCGGAUAGGAGCUCCUGCUGCAUGGUGGGGGUUGGAUAGUUUCGGCGGUUGGGGAUGGACUCGCGGCUUAUCAGCUUGUUGGUGGGGUAGUGGCUUACCAAGGCUUUGACGGGUAGCCGGCCUGAGAGGGUGACCGGCCAAAUUGGGACUGAGAUACGGCACAGACUCCUACGGGAGGCAGCAGUGGGGAAUAUUGCACAAUGGGAGGAAGCCUGAUGCAGCAAAGCCGCGUGCGGGAUGACGGCCUUCGGGUUGUAAACCGCUUUCGCCUGUGACGAAGCGUGAGUGACGGUAAUGGGUAAAGAAGCACCGGCUAACUACGUG
This 468-nucleotide ribosomal RNA is filed under the name uncultured bacterium. Its description in RNAcentral is "partial 16S ribosomal RNA". It matches the Rfam family "Bacterial small subunit ribosomal RNA", at positions 28 to 507 of the family's 1533-position model. The record is from RNAcentral.